RNAcentral lists this non-coding RNA (627 nucleotides) under Thermoactinomyces vulgaris. RNAcentral describes it as "bacterial LSU rRNA". It matches the Rfam family "Bacterial large subunit ribosomal RNA", at positions 686 to 1297 of the family's 2925-position model. The record is from RNAcentral. Lineage: Bacteria; Bacillati; Bacillota; Bacilli; Caryophanales; Thermoactinomycetaceae.
AAUAGGGCGUUGAGUGGUGUGUUGUAGACCCGAAGCGGGGUGAUCUACCCAUGUCCAGGGUGAAGCGGCUGUAAGAGGUCGUGGAGGCCCGAACCCACCAGGGUUGAAAACCUGGGGGAUGACCUGUGGUUAGGGGUGAAAGGCCAAUCAAACUCCGUGAUAGCUGGUUCUCCCCGAAAUGCAUUUAGGUGCAGCGUCGUGUGUUUCUUGCCGGAGGUAGAGCACUGGAUAGGCGAUGGGCCCUACCGGGUUACUGACCUUAGCCAAACUCCGAAUGCCGGUAAGUGAGAGCGCGGCAGUGAGACUGUGGGGGAUAAGCUCCAUGGUCGAGAGGGAAACAGCCCAGAGCAUCGACUAAGGCCCCUAAGCGUACGCUAAGUGGGAAAGGAUGUGGAGUCGCAGAGACAACCAGGAGGUUGGCUUAGAAGCAGCCACCCUUGAAAGAGUGCGUAAUAGCUCACUGGUCUAGUGAUUCCGCGCCGACAAUGUAGCGGGGCUCAAGCGUACCGCCGAAGUCGUGUCAUUGCAGCAAUACUCCCAACGGAGGCUGUGAUGGGUAGGGGAGCGUCGUGUGCCGGGUGAAGCAGCCGUGGAAGCGAGUUGUGGACGGUUCACGAGUGAGAAUGC